GCGUGUGUGAUGAAGGCCUUCGGGUUGUAAAACACUUUUAGAUGUGACGAUGAUGACGGUAACAUCAGAAAAAGCUCCGGCUAACUUCGUGCCAGCAGCCGCGGUAAUACGAAGGGAGCGAGCGUUGUUCGGAAUCACUGGGCGUAAAGCGUGCGUAGGCGGUUUUGUAAGUAAGAAGUGAAAGCCUGGGGCUCAACCUCAGAAUUGCUUUUUAGACUGCAAGGCUAGAGUACCGGAGAGGCUAAUGGAAUUCCGAGUGUAGAGGUAAAAUUCGC
This 275-nucleotide ribosomal RNA is filed under the name uncultured bacterium. RNAcentral describes it as "partial 16S ribosomal RNA". It matches the Rfam family "Bacterial small subunit ribosomal RNA", at positions 399 to 691 of the family's 1533-position model. The record is from RNAcentral.